This 471-nucleotide ribosomal RNA is filed under the name uncultured organism. RNAcentral describes it as "partial 16S ribosomal RNA". It matches the Rfam family "Bacterial small subunit ribosomal RNA", at positions 334 to 797 of the family's 1533-position model. The record is from RNAcentral.
CACUCCUACGGGAGGCAGCAGUGGGGAAUUUUGGACAAUGGGCGAAAGCCUGAUCCAGCAAUGCCGCGUGAGUGAAGAAGGCCUUCGGGUUGUAAAGCUCUUUUGUCAGGGAAGAAACGGUGAGAGCUAAUAUCUUUUGCUAAUGACGGUACCUGAAGAAUAAGCACCGGCUAACUACGUGCCAGCAGCCGCGGUAAUACGUAGGGUGCAAGCGUUAAUCGGAAUUACUGGGCGUAAAGCGUGCGCAGGCGGUUUUGUAAGUCUGAUGUGAAAUCCCCGGGCUCAACCUGGGAAUUGCAUUGGAGACUGCAAGGCUAGAAUCUGGCAGAGGGGGGUAGAAUUCCACGUGUAGCAGUGAAAUGCGUAGAUAUGUGGAGGAACACCGAUGGCGAAGGCAGCCCCCUGGGUCAAGAUUGACGCUCAUGCACGAAAGCGUGGGGAGCAAACAGGAUUAGAUACCCGUGUAGUCCC